RNAcentral lists this long non-coding RNA (7024 nucleotides) under Salmo salar (Atlantic salmon). RNAcentral describes it as "lncRNA (ENSSSAG00000107708.1)". The record is from RNAcentral. Lineage: Eukaryota; Metazoa; Chordata; Actinopteri; Salmoniformes; Salmonidae.
AAUGUGGUUGGAUUAAGGAGAAGUGUAUAUUUAAAAUGGCAUAAAAUAGUUGUAUGUUUGAGAAAUUUGAAUUAUGAGAUUUUGUUGUUUUGAAUUUUCCACCCUGAUAUUUCACUGGCUGUUGAUAGAAUUUAGAAGGGAAUGCAAAGAGUGUGCAAAGCAUUCAUCAAGGCAAAAGAUGGCUAUUUGAAGAAUCUGAAAUGUAAAAUAUAUUUUGAUUUGUUUAACACUUUUUUGGUUACUACAUGAUUCCAUAUGCGUUAUUUCAUAGUUUUGAUGUCUUCACUAUCACUCUACAAUGUAGAAAAUAGUAAAAAUAAAGAAUAACCCUUGAAGGAGUAGAUGUUCUAAAACUUUUGACCCAUUGUGUAUAUAUAAUUUUAAGCAUAUUUUAACACAAGCUUAACACCUAACGAACACUUUGUACUUUUUUGAAAACACCUUCAACAUUGGCCAGGCCCUGGUGUUACCUUAUAUUUCAGCAAUAAUACUUCAUUUUUCUCAACUUGCCAUUGGCUCAACUUACCACAUGGCCAUUGGCUCAACUUACCAAUAGGCAAACAUUUUGACUAUAUUAGCCCACACAGGUACAAGGAUGCACUUUCAUGCUAAAUUUAAGACCUCAUAUUGAAGGCUAUAAAGACUCUAACUGAUGUGUAGAACAAUCUUAAAAUUCUCUACUUUGGUUUAGAUAAAAGCAUCAUGACUAACACAAUACAUUGAUUUGACUUGGUGAAAACCAAUGUUUUGGACCUAACUUGCUUACCACUUCUUCCAUGUGGUUUCUUCCUUCAUAGACUCCCUAAAUAUUUGGACAAAUUAUAUAUUGUGUGUAUGGUUUCCUAGAAACAAGGGGUGACUCAACUUACCAUUACAAUCAAUUUACCCCACUUUUCCCUACUUUGAUAUGUUUUAUGAUCAUAAAUUAAAAUCAGAUUUUGUACAUUGGACUUAAUAAUAUUAUAUUUUAAAUAUUUCCAAAUACCUUGUUGGUCUUUAUCCAUAUCCUCAGGAAGUACCUCUCCAGCUCUUAGAUGGGCCCUAGAUCCCACUUUUCUAACUGUCUGUUUUUGGAUCCGCACAUUUAUUUUGGUGGUGUAUGUCUUGGCCCCCGCUGAACUGUCCUCAUCGUCAAUAUCUUCUCCAUUUCCAACCUCUUGAUCUUUGACAUCAAGGUCAUCUGUAUCAUGAUUGUCCUUAUCAGCUUCAUAUUCUUCUUGAUCACCUUCACUAACAACUUGAUCUUUAAUGUCAAGGUCACUGUGAUCAUCAUGUUUAUUCUCAUCAAUGUCUUCCUCUGCCUCCUCCUCUUCCUCCUCUCCAUCGUCUUCAUAAUGUUCAUCACCAACUUCAAUAUUGGCCCGAGAUCCCACUUUUCUGACCAUCUGUUUUUGGAUCCAAACAUUUAUUUUGGUAGCGUAUGUCUUGGUCCUCUCUGAACUGUCCUCAUCGUCAAUGUCUUCUCCAUGUUCAACCUCUUGAUCUUUGACAUCAAGGUAAUCUGUAUCAUGAUUGUCCUCAUCAGCUUCAUCUUCUUCAUGAUCAUCAUCAACAACGACUUGAUCUUUAGUGUCAAUGUCACUGUGAUCAUCAUGUUUAUACUCAUCAUCAAUGUCUUCCUCUGCCUCCUCCUCUCCGUCAUAUUCAUGAUGUUCAUCACCAACUUCAAUAUUGGCUCUAGAUUCCACUUUUCUAAGCAUCGUUUUUUGGAUCUGCACAUUUAUUUUGGUGGUGUAUGUCAUGGCCCCCUCUGAACUGUUUUCAUUGUAAAUGCCUUCAUCUUCAACACCUUGAUCUUUGACGUCAACCUCAUGGGUAUCACCCUCCUCCUCCUCAUCUAACUCUAAGUGAUGAUCCUUCUCCUCUUUCACCUCCUCUUCUUUCCCCCCAUCCUUGCUAACAUCCAUGAUUUCUUCAUCAUCCAUUGUUUGUUCAUGGUCAAGCUCUUCAACAUCACAAUCUACAUCAGUGAUGUAAUGGCAACAAAUUAACGUAUUUUCCCUAUCUUUAAUUAUCUUUAAUAGCAAUUUACUUUGAUAUGAUGACUAUCCUAUCAUAAAGAAAAAUCACAUUUUGGACAUCGUAGCUAAUGAUAUGAAAUAUUUCCAAAUACCUUGUUGGUCUUCAUCCAUAUCCUUAGGAAGUACCUCUCCAGCUCUUAGGUGGGCCUUAGAUCCCAUGACUCUAAGCAUCUGUUUUUGGAUCCACACAUUUUUUGGGGUGGUGUAUUUCUUCACCCCCUCUGAACUGUCAUCUGUACUGUCAUUGUCUCCUUGCUCUUCUUCAGCCUCUUUGACAUCAUCAUCCUUCUCCGCCACAACUGGAGUGAUGCUUAUUUCAGGUGUAGGGUCACCGUCCUUUGUAGUGCCUAUCAAUUCUGCAACUGUGUCACCAAGCCACUUUGUCUUUAUUAUUGACUUUACCAUCUCAACAUUUCAUUAGCAUUCGUCAGAGGUGAGUUGGUGCAGAUGCAAACAUGCAAACAUUAAGACAUUGACAGAGUUAUGGAAAUUAAAUGGCAACACAUUCCAACAUUCGUCAUAUUCAUACAAGAUACACCACAUGCUGCACUCUGAUUGACUGAUUUCAUGUUUUAUCUACCCUGCAAUUAUAUGCACUUGACACAUUUUUAUCUAAAGCGUUGGGUUGACUGUCUAUCAUAUGUUGCUUAGAUGAAAACUGUUCCAGACAUAAAAUCUCUAAGCAGUCACCCAUGAAAUAAUCCCUAUUGAAAUACGAUGCCAACCGUUUAUCUUUUUCCUUGGUGGAAUGUAGACUACAUCUAUUUACUUUAACCAGUAGUGAACACUUGAAUUGCAACAUUUAGUCAGUGGUCAGUCAAUCAAACAGAUAACGCAGAAACAAUGCAAGACAACAUGGAAGAAGAGAAUGCAUCUCCUAAAACAAUAGAUUUCCAUUUCAGAGACACCUCAUGCUUUACAAACUUCAGUAAAUCAAAUAAUUGAUAGGGGAACAAUAUGAACACAAAUAAGGAUGAAUGAACACAUGACAACAGAAACACAAACUGUUACAACGAAGGAACUGUCAGUGUGUGUAUUUACAAUUAGAAUGGGGAAAUAAAAUGCAGUCAAUCACCAAUUCCAAAACCACAAUGGCAUUUUAGUUCAGACAUUUAUUGAAUCAUUAAUAAAGGCCUAAUAUGAUGAGCAUGAAAUAUUAACAUUUUCCCAUUAAACAUAAUUAUUGUGUCAUUAGUAGUCUACAUACAUUAACUUAAAUUAUUCAUACCCUGUGACUUAUUCCACAUUUUGUUGUGUUACAACCUGAAUUCAAAAUAAAAAUCUCACCCAUCUACACACAACACCCCAUGACAAAUGUUUUUAGAAAUGUUCGCACAUUUAUCGAAAAUGAAACACAGAAAUAGCUAAUUUACAUAAGUAUUCACACCCCUGAGUCAAUACUUUGCAGAACCACAUUUGGCAGCGAUUACAGCUUUGAGUCGUCUUGGGUAUGUCUGUAUCAGCUUUACACAUCUGGAAUUGGGGAUUUCCUUAAGCUCUGUUAAGUUAGAUGGGGGUGGCGGUGAACAAUAUUCUUCAAGUCUUCCCACUGAUUUUCAAUGGGAUUCAACUCUGUGUUUUGGCUGGGCCACCCAAGAACUUUCAUAUUCUUGGUCUGAAGCCAUUCCAGCAUUGCUUUGGCUGUAUGCUUGGGGUAAUUGUCCUGUUGGAACGUAUACCUUCACACCAGUCUAAGGUUGUUUGCACUCUGAAGUAGGUUCUCAUCAAGAAUUUGCUUUUAUUUGGCUCCAUUCAUUAUGCCCUCUAUAAUUACCAGUUUCUCAGUCUCUGCUGCUGAAAAGCAUCCCCAUAGCAUGAUGCUUCAGGGUAGGGAUGGUGUUAGACAGGUGAUGAGCUGUUCCUGGUUUUCUCCAGACAUAACACUUUGCGUUCAAGCCAAAGAGGUCAAUUUUUGUCUCAGCAGACCACAGAAUCUUUUGCCUUAUGCUCUCUCAAGUAUCUUUUCGCAAAGUCCAGCCGUGCUGUCAUGUGCCUUUUUCUCAGAAGUGGCUUCCGUCUGCCCACUCUCCUAUAAAGCCCAGAUUGGUGAGGUGCUGUAGAGACCGUUGUCCUUCUGGCAGGUUCUCCCAUCUCAGUCUAGGAACUCUCUAGUUGGGUUCUUGGUCAUUGGGUUCUUGGUCACCUUCCUGACCAAGGUCCUUCUUGCCCCGGUUGCUCAGUUUGGUCAGACGGCCAGCUCUAGGCAGAGCCUGGGUAGUUCCAUAUUUUUUCAAUUUCCCAAUGAUGGAGACCACUGUGCUUUUGGAAAUGUUCAAAACUCUAGAAAUGUUUUAAACCCUUCCCCAGAUAUAAUUAUAUCUCAGAGAUCAUCGGACAGUUCCUUGGGCUUGAUGGUAUAGUUUCUGCUCUGACAUGCACUGUCAACUGUGGGAAAUUAUAUAGACAGGUGUGUUUCUUUCUAAGGUUGCAAGAUCGAAUCUCCGAGCUGACAAGGUAAAAAUCUGUCAUUCUGCCCCUGAACAAGGCAUUAACCCACUUCCUAGGCCGUCAUUGAAAAUAAGAAUUUGUUCUUAAAUGACUUGCCUAGUUAAAUAAAGGUUAAAAAAUUUCAAAAAAAAUAAAAUAAUGUCCAAACAAUUGAAUUGGCCACAGGUGUACUCAAAUCAAGUUGUAGUAACAUCUAAAAAAAAUAUCAAAAGAAAAUGGAUGCACCUCAGCUCAAUUUGGAGUGUCAUAGCAAAGGUGUGUGAAUACUAAUGUCAAUGAGUUAUUUCUGUAUUUCAUUUUCAAUACAUUUGCUAUGAAUCGUACUACACCGGCUCUGACACUGGACGGAUGUGGCAGGGCUUGCAAACAUUAGACUACAAAGGGAAGCACAGCUGAGAGCGGCCCAGUGACACGAGCUGACCAGACGAGCUAAACUACGUCUAUGCUUGCUUCAAGGCAAAUAACACUGAAACAUGCAUGAGAGCACCAGCUGUUCCAGAAGACUGUGUGAUCACGCUCUCCGCAGCCGAUGUGAGUAAGACCUUUAAACAGCUCAACAUUCACAAGGCCGCAGGGCCAGACGGAUUAUCAGGACAUGUACUGCGAACAUGUGCUGAGCAACUGGCAAGUGUCUUCACUGACAUUUUCAACCUCUCCCUGUCCGAGUCUGUAAUACCAACAUGUUUUAAGCAGAUCACCAUAGUGCCUGUGCCCAAGAACACUAAGGUAACCUGCCUAAAUGACUACCGACCCGUCGCACUCAUGUCUGUAGCCAUGAAGUGCUUUGAAAGGCUGGUCAUGGGUCACAUCAAUACCAUUAUCCCAGAAACCCUAGACCCACUCCAAUUUGCAUACCGCCCCAAAAGAUCCCCAGAUGAUUCAAUCUCUAUUGCACUCCACACUGCCCUUUCCCACCUGGAUAAAAGGAACACCUACGUGAGAAUGCUAUUCAUUGCCUACAGCUCAGCGUUCAACACCAUAAUGCCCUCAAAGCUCAUCAAUAAGCUAAGGACCCUGGGACUAAACCCCUCCCUCUGCAACUGGAUCCUGGACUUCCUGGCAGGCCGCCCCCAAGUGGUAAGGGUAGGUAACAACACAUCCGCUACACUGAUCCUCAACACAGGGGCCCCUCACAGCUGCAUGCUCAGUCCCUUCCUGUGCUCCCUGUUCACUCAUGACUGCACGGCCAGGCACAACUCCAACACCAUCAUUAAGUUUUCCGAGGACACAACAGUGGUAGGCCUGAUCACUGACAAUGAUGAGACAGCCUAUAGGGAGGAGGUCAGAGACCUCGCCGUGUGGUGCCAGGACAACAACCUCUCCCUCAAUGUGAUCAAGACAAAGGAGAUGAUUGUGGACUACAGGAAAAAGAGGACCGAGCACGUCCCCAUUCUCAUCGACUGGGCUGCAGUGAAGCAGGUUGAGAGCUUCAAGUUCCUUGGUGUCCACAUCACCAACAAACUAACAUGGUCCAAGCACACCAAGACAGUUGUGAAGAGGGCACGACAAAACCUAUUCCCCCUCAGGAGACUGAAAAGAUUUGGCAUGGGUCCGCAGAUCCUCAAAAGGUUCUACAGCUGCACCAUCGAGAACAUCCUGACUGGUUUCAUCACUGCCUGGUAUGGCAACUGCUCGGCCUCUGACCACAAGGCACUACAGAGGGUAGUGUGAAUGGUCCAGUACAUCAAUGGGGCCAAGCGUCAUGCCAUCCAGGACCUCUAUACCAGGCAGUGUCAGAGGAAGGCCCUAGAAAUUGUCAAAGACAUCCAGUCACCCUAGUCAUAGAUUAUUCUCUCUGCUACCGCACGGCAAGCAGUACUGGAGUGCCAAGUCUAGGUCCAUGAGGCUUCUAAACAGCUUCUACCCCCAAGCCAUAAUACUCCUAAACUUCUAAUCAAAUGACUACCCAGACUAUUUGCAUUGCUCCCCCCCCCCCCCCUUUACACUGCUGCUACUCUCUGUUGUUAUUAUCUAUGCAUAGUCACUUUACUAAAUCUACCUGCAUGUACAUACUAUCUCAACUAACUGGUGACCCCGCACAUUGACUCUGUACUGGUAACCCCCUGUAUAUAGUCUCACUAUUGUUAUUUUACUGUUGCUCUUUAAUUACUUGUUACUUUUAUUUCUUAUUCUUAUCCGUAUUUCUUUCAAACUGUAUUGUUGGUUAGGUAAGUAAGCUUUUCACUGUAAGUACCUGUUGUAUUCGGUGCAUGUGACUAAUACGAUUUGAUUAUAUUUUUUUAAAUGAAGAAAAACAUGUUUUCACUUUGUCAUUAUGGGGUAUUGUGUGUAGAUGCAACUGUUCGGGAUCUGACCGUAUGGCGCUACAGAGAGUAGUGCGUAUGGCCCAGUAGAUCACUGGGACCAAGCUUCCUGCCAUCCAGGACCUAUAAACUAGGUUGUGUCAGAGGAAGGCCCCAAAAAAUUGUCAAAGACUCCAGUCACCCUAGUCAUAGAUUAUUCUCUCUGCUACCGCAUGGCAAGCGGUACCAGUGCACCAAGUCUAGGACCAAAAGGAUCAUUAACAGCUUCUACCACCAAGCCAUAAGACUGCU